AGAGUUUGAUCCUGGCUCAGAACGAACGCUGGCGGCGUGGAUAAGACAUGCAAGUCGAACGAGAGAAUUGCUAGCUUGCUAAUAAUUCUCUAGUGGCGCACGGGUGAGUAACACGUGAGUAACCUGCCCCCGAGAGCGGGAUAGCCCUGGGAAACUGGGAUUAAUACCGCAUAGUAUCGAAAGAUUAAAGCAGCAAUGCGCUUGGGGAUGGGCUCGCGGCCUAUUAGUUAGUUGGUGAGGUAACGGCUCACCAAGGCGAUGACGGGUAGCCGGUCUGAGAGGAUGUCCGGCCACACUGGAACUGAGACACGGUCCAGACACCUACGGGUGGCAGCAGUCGAGAAUCAUUCACAAUGGGGGAAACCCUGAUGGUGUGACGCCGCGUGGGGGAAUGAAGGUCUUCGGAUUGUAAACCCCUGUCAUGUGGGAGCAAAUUAAAAAGAUAGUACCACAAGAGGAAGAGACGGCUAACUCUGUGCCAGCAGCCGCGGUAAUACAGAGGUCUCAAGCGUUGUUCGGAAUCACUGGGCGUAAAGCGUGCGUAGGCUGUUUCGUAAGUCGUGUGUGAAAGGCGCGGGCUCAACCCGCGGACGGCACAUGAUACUGCGAGACUAGAGUAAUGGAGGGGGAACCGGAAUUCUCGGUGUAGCAGUGAAAUGCGUAGAUAUCGAGAGGAACACUCGUGGCGAAGGCGGGUUCCUGGACAUUAACUGACGCUGAGGCACGAAGGCCAGGGGAGCGAAAGGGAUUAGAUACCCCUGUAGUCCUGGCAGUAAACGGUGCACGCUUGGUGUGCGGGGAAUCGACCCCCUGCGUGCCGGAGCUAACGCGUUAAGCGUGCCGCCUGGGGAGUACGGUCGCAAGAUUAAAACUCAAAGAAAUUGACGGGGACCCGCACAAGCGGUGGAGUAUGUGGCUUAAUUCGAUGCAACGCGAAGAACCUUACCUGGGCUUGACAUGUAAUGAACAACAUGUGAAAGCAUGCGACUCUUCGGAGGCGUUACACAGGUGCUGCAUGGCCGUCGUCAGCUCGUGUCGUGAGAUGUUUGGUUAAGUCCAGCAACGAGCGCAACCCCUGUUGCCAGUUACCAGCACGUGAAGGUGGGGACUCUGGCGAGACUGCCCAGAUCAACUGGGAGGAAGGUGGGGACGACGUCAGGUCAGUAUGGCCCUUAUGCCCAGGGCUGCACACGUACUACAAUGCCCAGUACAGAGGGGGCCGAAGCCGCGAGGCGGAGGAAAUCCUGAAAACUGGGCCCAGUUCGGACUGUAGGCUGCAACCCGCCUACACGAAGCCGGAAUCGCUAGUAAUGGCGCAUCAGCUACGGCGCCGUGAAUACGUUCCCGGGUCUUGCACUCACCGCCCGUCA
Molecule: ribosomal RNA, 1370 nt
Filed under: uncultured bacterium
Lineage: Bacteria
Description: bacterial SSU rRNA
Rfam family: Bacterial small subunit ribosomal RNA
Source: RNAcentral